UGAGGAAUAUUGGGCAAUGCCCGCAAGGGUGACCCAGCAACGCCGCGUGGAGGAUGAAUGUCGUAAGAUUGUAAACUCCUGUUAGAGGGGAAGAAUAGUACCGGUUGGACCGGUAUAUGACUGUACCCUCAGAGAAAGCCCCGGCUAACUACGUGCCAGCAGCCGCGGUAAUACGUAGGGGGCAAGCGUUGUCCGGAUUUACUGGGUGUAAAGGGCGCGCAGGCGGGAUAAAAAGUCAGGGGUGAAAUCCUACAGCUUAACUGUAGAACUGCCUUUGAUACUUUUAUUCUUGAGUUCGGGAGAGAGAGACGGAAUUCCAGGUGUAGUGGUGAAAUACGUAGAUAUCUGGAAGAACACCAGUUGCGAAGGCGGUCUCCUGGUCCGACACUGACGCUGAGGCGCGAAAGCGUGGGGAGCCAACA
RNAcentral lists this ribosomal RNA (422 nucleotides) under uncultured bacterium. RNAcentral's name for it is "bacterial SSU rRNA". It matches the Rfam family "Bacterial small subunit ribosomal RNA", at positions 355 to 774 of the family's 1533-position model. The record is from RNAcentral.